This 370-nucleotide long non-coding RNA is filed under the name Salvator merianae (Argentine black and white tegu). RNAcentral's name for it is "lncRNA (ENSSMRG00000004930.1)". The record is from RNAcentral. Lineage: Eukaryota; Metazoa; Chordata; Lepidosauria; Squamata; Teiidae.
AGAAAAGAUGAUGUCCUGGGAAGGAGUAGGAUGUAGUCACAUUGUCUGCUCUUGAAUUCGUGGAACUGACAUGUGACUGUUCCUUUGCCAUCCCACAUCCUGCCAGCCUUCUGGUUCUUGAAAGAGCCUCUUUUGCAGAUCCUCCUAUUUACUUGUUUGUCUAUCGACCACGCUGAGAAAGGCUAUGCGGAGCUUGGUUGUUUCGGUUUUCUGCCUGUUUGCUGUAUGCCUGGCUGCUGAGAAAACAGGUAAUAGGAAUUACAUAAACAUGACUGGAAGAAAUAAGUGACUCACAUUUCUCAUCUGAAUACCAUCCCAAGAAUUUCUACUGUAUCAGAGAUGAACAAAAGCAGAACUCCUACAACCCAGA